GACGAACGCUGGCGGCGUGCCUAAUACAUGCAAGUCGAGCGGACUGAUUAAGAGCUUGCUCUUAUGACGUUAGCGGCGGACGGGUGAGUAACACGUGGGCAACCUGCCCUGUAGAUCGGGAUAACACCGAGAAAUCGGUGCUAAUACCGGGUAAUAUCUGAGAUCACAUGAUCUUAGGUUAAAAGAUGGCUCCGGCUAUCACUACAGGAUGGGCCCGCGGCGCAUUAGCUAGUUGGUAAGGUAAUGGCUUACCAAGGCGACGAUGCGUAGCCGACCUGAGAGGGUGAUCGGCCACACUGGGACUGAGACACGGCCCAGACUCCUACGGGAGGCAGCAGUAGGGAAUCUUCCGAAAUGGACGAAAGUCUGACGGAGCAACGCCGCGUGAGUGAUGAAGGGGUUCGGCUCGUAAAGCUCUGUUGUUAGGGAAGAAACAGUACCGAACGAACUAGGUCGGUACCUUGACGGUACCUAACCAGAAAGCCACGGCUAACCACGUG
RNAcentral lists this ribosomal RNA (500 nucleotides) under uncultured bacterium. RNAcentral's name for it is "partial 16S ribosomal RNA". It matches the Rfam family "Bacterial small subunit ribosomal RNA", at positions 28 to 507 of the family's 1533-position model. The record is from RNAcentral.